UACGAAGGGGGCUAGCGUUGCUCGGAAUUACUGGGCGUAAAGCGCGCGUAGGCGGAUUUGCAAGUCGGGGGUGAAAGCCCGAGGCUCAACCUCGGAACUGCCCUCGAUACUUCAAAUCCCGAGUCCGAGAGAGGUGAGUGGAAUUCCUAGUGUAGAGGUGAAAUUCGUAGAUAUUAGGAAGAACACCAGUGGCGAAGGCGGCUCACUGGCUCGGUACUGACGCUGAGGCGCGAAAGCGUGGGGAGCAAACAGG
Molecule: ribosomal RNA, 253 nt
Filed under: uncultured bacterium
Lineage: Bacteria
Description: partial 16S ribosomal RNA
Rfam family: Bacterial small subunit ribosomal RNA
Source: RNAcentral